RNAcentral lists this ribosomal RNA (254 nucleotides) under uncultured bacterium. RNAcentral's name for it is "partial 16S ribosomal RNA". It matches the Rfam family "Bacterial small subunit ribosomal RNA", at positions 524 to 776 of the family's 1533-position model. RNAcentral also lists the same sequence under 2 other names. The record is from RNAcentral.
UACGUAGGGAGCAAGCGUUGUCCGGAUUUAUUGGGCGUAAAGGGCUAGUAGGCGGUUCGGCAAGUCGGGUGUGAAAACUCUAGGCUCAACCUGGAGAGGCCACCCGAUACUGCUGUGACUCGAGUCUGGUAGGGGAGCACGGAAUCUCUGGUGUAGCGGUGAAAUGCACAGAUAUCAGAGGGAACACCGGUGGCGAAGGCGGUGCUCUGGGCCAGUACUGACGCUGAAUAGCGAAAGCGUGGGUAGCGAACAGG